RNAcentral lists this ribosomal RNA (253 nucleotides) under uncultured bacterium. RNAcentral's name for it is "partial 16S ribosomal RNA". It matches the Rfam family "Bacterial small subunit ribosomal RNA", at positions 524 to 776 of the family's 1533-position model. The record is from RNAcentral.
UACGGAGGGUGCAAGCGUUAUCCGGAUUCACUGGGUUUAAAGGGUGCGUAGGAGGGUAGGUAAGUCAGUGGUGAAAUCCCCAAGCUUAACUUGGGAACUGCCGUUGAUACUAUCUAUCUUGAAUGUUGUGGAGGUGAGCGGAAUAUGUCAUGUAGCGGUGAAAUGCUUAGAUAUGACAUAGAACACCAAUUGCGAAGGCAGCUCACUACACAAAUAUUGACUCUGAGGCACGAAAGCGUGGGGAUCAAACAGG